GUUGAAACACCAGUUCCCAUAUGAUCACCAAAGUUAAGCAACAUCAAGCCUGGUCAGUACCUUGGUGGCUGACUGCAUGGCAAUACUAGGUGCUGUAA
Molecule: non-coding RNA, 98 nt
Organism: Acanthosepion pharaonis
Lineage: Eukaryota; Metazoa; Mollusca; Cephalopoda; Sepiida; Sepiidae
Source: the annotation of a GenBank genome assembly